RNAcentral lists this ribosomal RNA (465 nucleotides) under Vreelandella stevensii. RNAcentral describes it as "partial 16S ribosomal RNA". It matches the Rfam family "Bacterial small subunit ribosomal RNA", at positions 338 to 795 of the family's 1533-position model. Lineage: Bacteria; Pseudomonadati; Pseudomonadota; Gammaproteobacteria; Oceanospirillales; Halomonadaceae. The record is from RNAcentral.
CCUACGGGGGGCUGCAGUGGGGAAUAUUGGACAAUGGGGGGAACCCUGAUCCAGCCAUGCCGCGUGUGUGAAGAAGGCCCUCGGGUUGUAAAGCACUUUCAGUGAGGAAGAACGCCUGGUGGUUAAUACCCAUCAGGAAAGACAUCACUCACAGAAGAAGCACCGGCUAACUCCGUGCCAGCAGCCGCGGUAAUACGGAGGGUGCGAGCGUUAAUCGGAAUUACUGGGCGUAAAGCGCGCGUAGGUGGCUUGAUAAGCCGGUUGUGAAAGCCCCGGGCUCAACCGGGGAACGGCAUCCGGAACUGUCAAGCUAGAGUGCAGGAGAGGAAGGUAGAAUUCCCGGUGUAGCGGUGAAAUGCGUAGAGAUCGGGAGGAAUACCAGUGGCGAAGGCGGCCUUCUGGACUGACACUGACACUGAGGUGCGAAAGCGUGGGUAGCAAACAGGAUUAGAUACCCCAGUAGUC